GAGUUUGAUCCUGGCUCAGGAUGAACGCUGGCGGCGUGCUUAACACAUGCAAGUCGAACGGGAAUUACUUUAUUGAAACUUCGGUCGAUUUAAUUUAAUUCUAGUGGCGGACGGGUGAGUAACGCGUGGGUAACCUGCCUUAUACAGGGGGAUAACAGUCAGAAAUGACUGCUAAUACCGCAUAAGACCACAGCACCGCAUGGUGCAGGGGUAAAAACUCCGGUGGUAUGAGAUGGACCCGCGUCUGAUUAGGUAGUUGGUGGGGUAACGGCCUACCAAGCCGACGAUCAGUAGCCGACCUGAGAGGGUGACCGGCCACAUUGGGACUGAGACACGGCCCAAACUCCUACGGGAGGCAGCAGUGGGGAAUAUUGCACAAUGGGGGAAACCCUGAUGCAGCGACGCCGCGUGAGCGAUGAAGUAUUUCGGUAUGUAAAGCUCUAUCAGCAGGGAAGAAAAUGACGGUACCUGACUAAGAAGCACCGGCUAAAUACGUGCCAGCCGCCGCGGUAAUUC
This 516-nucleotide ribosomal RNA is filed under the name uncultured bacterium. RNAcentral describes it as "bacterial SSU rRNA". It matches the Rfam family "Bacterial small subunit ribosomal RNA", at positions 9 to 526 of the family's 1533-position model. The record is from RNAcentral.